AAACUUGUUGAAUUUUUAUUCCCCAUUCAUGCAUAGAGUUCUGGACUCAUUUGCACUAUGUAGAAUGUUUCUGCUGUUAUUGUCAGGUACUUGUCAGUUGUAACCAAUGAUGCAAAGGUGUUAUAGGACCUCUUCAACUUGUAAUCAUGCAUGAUUCAUUGUGAUUUCUGAGCGCUUGAAGUGCUACCUGCUUCAACACCUCAUUUUGACUAUGAAUAUUUCUGGUGCUUAAUAAGUCAAGCAGGACAGAUAAGAAUGAGCAGUGCCUUUUAGCCCAGUAGUUCACAGAUGAAGCCGUCUAGAUGUUUCACCAUAUUGAAGAAGGUACUCCUAAUUUUUCUUUUUAGUGCAUCUUUCAAUGCUGAAAAUGUGAGUUAGCAAUCCACUUGGACCGACAAGCAUCAUCCUGACGUUCCACGCCAUAUGAUUAACCAGAAGCUAAUUCAUGGAGUCGAACCUGUGUAUCUAUUUCGCUUUAAUGUGGUCAACUCUGGGCAUUUGUGUUGGUUCCAGCUUGUCUGGUCCAUACUCAGCCAAGUAACAAAUCCUGGUCUACAUUUGUGUCCAUGUUUUCAAUCAAGCUUGAGUUCAAACACAUGGACAAUAGCCAUAUGCAACCUGUAUGUGUACUGCCUGAGAAGCUGAAGAGUAAAAUUAUAAAAUGAAAAAUUUUGGCCUGUCAAAUGACCUACAUGGACAAAAUUGUGAAAGCCAGCUUCCAAGGCCUUUUUUACAUGCAAAAGAAUGCACCUUAACAUAUGAUUAAGUUAGAUAACUGUGUUGACUGAUAUAUUGAAAUUUUCAACCUCUAAUCUUGUCUGAAGUCUAAACUUUAUGUAUAUAAUCUAAAUAAAAUCCUAUUGUUUUCGGAAUGUUACAUUGUCUCUGCAGUCCUUUUAUUGUUUACAAUCAGUUUGCUAUCCUUUAUCAUAGAAAUUUGUAUUUUCUUGAUAAUAUUUUAAGACUGGAUCUAUAUUAUCAAACUGCAUCAUGCUUUAGAGUGACUGUUUGGCUUAUCUGAUUGAUAAUACGUGCACCAUUGUUUGAGUUUGAAAUUAUUGCGGUGUGUUGGGUUCUCUAUCCUGCAACUGUCUUUGGAAUUAAAUCAUGGAAGGAUACAUUUAAACAAAAAAAAAGAAAAGAAAAAUCAGCCUACUAGAUUGAGCUGGUAAAGUUAAUCUAUUUCAAGGCUGGACAUUAUCCAA
Elaeis guineensis (African oil palm) is the source of this 1205-nucleotide non-coding RNA. NCBI's taxonomy places the organism in Eukaryota, Viridiplantae, Streptophyta, Magnoliopsida, Arecales, Arecaceae. The record is from RefSeq and is a predicted model, not a curated record.